CUCACAUCCAAGGUAGGCUAGCAGGGUGGGUGGAGGCAUGAAAGAGGGUUUGAGACUAUUAGGUUGUAACUGGGCUGUGGAUGUUGGAAUGUGGAUAACAGAUAUAUUAGGAUGUUGGAGUGGCAAGGCAUUGGAGAAUAUUGGGGGACCAGGGUGAGGGGAGUGCUCCGAGGGACUGAGUAGCACCCUGUGUUUGGAGUGUUGGAUGAUGUUGCAAUAUUGAAGUGCCUUGAAAAACUGAGAGAGCAGAGAGGGUUGGAGUUAUGCUGGAGUGACAGGGCUUUGGGUUAUACAUUGGGAGGCCAGAGAGCAGAAGGUGAUGAGUGCGUGGGGAUACUAUGUGUGUGUGUGUCAGAACUGUCUAGUCCGACGGGAAGAUCGAGGCUUCACCGCUGUCGUGGGUGACUUCGGGCUGGCUGAAAAGAUUCCUGUGUAUAGGGAGGGGGCAAGGAAGGAGCCAUUGGCCGUGGUGGGCUCCCCGUACUGGAUGGCUCCAGAGGUGUUACGGGGUGAGCUGUAUGAUGAGAAGGCUGAUGUCUUUGCCUUCGGGAUUGUCCUCUGUGAGCUCAUCGCCCGAGUACCUGCAGACCCUGACUACCUACCACGCACUGAGGACUUUGGCCUGGAUGUGCCUGCUUUCCGAACUCUGGUGGGGGAUGACUGCCCACUGCCUUUCCUGCUUCUGGCCAUCCACUGCUGCAGCGUAAGAGCCUCACACUCCUUCCUGCCCCACCCU
Molecule: small RNA, 736 nt
Filed under: Pongo abelii (Sumatran orangutan)
Lineage: Eukaryota; Metazoa; Chordata; Mammalia; Primates; Hominidae
Description: processed transcript
Source: RNAcentral